GCCUGGGUGGCUCAGUCAGUUAAGCAUCUGACUUCGGCUCAGGUCAUGAUCUCACAGCUUGUGGGUUUGAGCCCCACGUCAGGCU
Molecule: transfer RNA, 85 nt
Filed under: Felis catus (domestic cat)
Lineage: Eukaryota; Metazoa; Chordata; Mammalia; Carnivora; Felidae
Rfam family: tRNA
About the family: Transfer RNA (tRNA) molecules are approximately 80 nucleotides in length. Their secondary structure includes four short double-helical elements and three loops (D, anti-codon, and T loops).
Source: Rfam by way of RNAcentral